GACAGAGGGUGCAAACGUUGUUCGGAAUUACUGGGCGUAAAGCGCGUGUAGGCGGCCCUGCAAGUCGGGUGUGAAAUCCCACGGCUCAACCGUGGAAGUGCACUCGAAACUGCAGGGCUAGAGUCCUGGAGAGGAAGGUGGAAUGCUUGGUGUAGAGGUGAAAUUCGUAGAUAUCAAGCGGAACACCGGUGGCGAAGGCGGCCUUCUGGACAGUGACUGACGCUGAGGAGCGAAAGCGUGGGGAGCGAACAGG
RNAcentral lists this ribosomal RNA (253 nucleotides) under uncultured bacterium. Its description in RNAcentral is "partial 16S ribosomal RNA". It matches the Rfam family "Bacterial small subunit ribosomal RNA", at positions 524 to 776 of the family's 1533-position model. The record is from RNAcentral.